Long non-coding RNA from Oncorhynchus keta (chum salmon), 1050 nucleotides. RefSeq lists it as uncharacterized. The transcript is spliced from 3 exons. Lineage: Eukaryota; Metazoa; Chordata; Actinopteri; Salmoniformes; Salmonidae. The record is from RefSeq and is a predicted model, not a curated record.
AGACUGGAGGAGGUUGGGCCUCCAUCGGUGAGGUCUGGUAGCAGGGUCUCCAUCGGUGAGGUCUGGUAGCAGGGUCUCCAUCGGUGAGGUCUGGUAGCAGGGUCUCCAUCGGUGAGGUCUGGUAGCAGGGUCUCCAUCGGUGAGGUCUGGUAGCAGGGUCUCCAUCGGUGAGGUCUGGUAGCAGGGUCUCCAUCGGUGAGGUCUGGUAGCAGGGUCUCCAUCGGUGAGGUCUGGUAGCAGGGUCUCCAUCGGUGAGGUCUGGUAGCAGGGUCUCCAUCGGUGAGGUCUGGUAGCAGGGUCUCCAUCGGUGAGGUCUGGUAGCAGGGUCUCCAUCGGUGAGGUCUGGUAGCAGGGUCUCCAUCGGUGAGGUCUGGUAGCAGGGUCUCCAUCGGUGAGGUCUGGUAGCAGGGUCUCCUUUCCUGUGGAAGUAGGAACAUCUUUAGAAACCGGAACUGGGCUAUAAAAAGGUCCAACAAUUAUGGAAUAGAACAAAAUAAAAUCAAAAUGACCAAAAAAAGACUAUAAACAGACAAUAUGACAAUCACUGACUGGCAUUCAAACCGUGGCCAACUAUGUUUUGCUCACAGACCUCCCCCAUAUCCAUCUGUAUGUAUAAGACUGGGAGGGUGUUACUAUCUCUGUACAGAGAACUGAGAAGACAACUCUGGUUCCAUUAGCUUUACCUUAGCAGCAGAGGAAACUUUGGAAACCACCUUGGACAUGACAGGAUGUCCUGGAGACUCUAUGAGUAACAAAUGCAAAAAAAUAAAGUGAAUUAUGAAGAGAUGUCUCACUGCACAAUCAAUGGGCGUAUCUCUACUGCUGUAAUCCAACCAAAACAUAUCUGGGGAGAGAUAUUGUAGUGUAUAGUAGUUACAUUUCUCAAUAAAUCUUACAAAACAGAAAAACGAAUUUAAGUGAAUCAUUGGCUCCUGAAAGCAACUCCAAACUGGUUCCUCUCCCAAGCUUGUUGUUCAGAGUAUCCAUGAAGAGUCUGAUUUGCUUGCGAAGGGAACCUAUACAUACUUUUGACCUCUCGAGGGCACUAUA